CAGCAGACACAUUCCAGCCAAUCCGCAGCAGACCCUCCCUCCCAGACCCUCCCACCUCCUGGACAGCAUCCAUUUUACGUUCAUUGUGAAGCUGCAUUCUUAGUGAGCUGUCCAGGAGGUGGGAGGGUCUGGGAGGGAGGGUCUGCUAAUGAUUGGCUGGAAUGUGUCUGCUG
RNAcentral lists this microRNA precursor (173 nucleotides) under Pelobates cultripes (western spadefoot toad). Lineage: Eukaryota; Metazoa; Chordata; Amphibia; Anura; Pelobatidae. The record is from RNAcentral.